GGACAACCUGCCCUGAGGACUGGAAUAAUCCCGGGAAACUGGGGGUAAUUCCAGAUAUGUCAGAACUCCUGGAAUGGGUUCUGGCAGAAAGGCUCCGGCGCCUCAGGAUGGGUCUGCGGCCUAUCAGGGUAGUAGUGGGUGUAACGUACCUACUAGCCUACGACGGGUACGGGUUGUGAGAGCAAGAGCCCGGAGAUGGAUUCUGAGACAUGAAUCCAGGCCCUACGGGGUGCAGCAGGCGCGAAAACUUUACAAUGCGGGCAACCGCGAUAAGGGGACCUCGAGUGCUGGGUUACAAACCUGGCUGUUGGGCUGCCUAAAAAGCAGUCUAUAGCAAGGGCCGGGCAAGACCGGUGCCAGCCGCCGCGGUAACACCGGCGGCUCGAGUGGUAACCGCUAUUAUUGGGUCUAAAGGGUCUGUAGCCGGCCGACUAAGUCUCUUGGGAAAUCUGGCAUCUCAAGUGUCAGGCUGCCAGGGGAUACUGGUCGGCUUGGGACCGGGAGAGGUGAGAGGUACCUCGGGGGUAGGGGUGAAAUCUUGUAAUCCUCGAGGGACCACCAGUGGCGAAGGCGUCUCACCAGAACGGAUCCGACGGCAAGGGACGAAAGCUAGGGGCACGAACCGGAUUAGAUACCCGGGUAGUCCUAGCCGUAAACGAUACUCGCUAGGUGUCGGCCACGGUGCGACCGUGGUCGGUGCCGUAGGGAAGCCGUGAAGCGAGCCACCUGGGAAGUACGGCCGCAAGGCUGAAACU
RNAcentral lists this ribosomal RNA (755 nucleotides) under Methanosaeta sp. enrichment culture. RNAcentral describes it as "bacterial SSU rRNA". It matches the Rfam family "Archaeal small subunit ribosomal RNA", at positions 102 to 856 of the family's 1478-position model. The record is from RNAcentral. Lineage: Archaea; Methanobacteriati; Methanobacteriota; Methanomicrobia; Methanotrichales; Methanotrichaceae.